Molecule: long non-coding RNA, 920 nt
Organism: Ananas comosus (pineapple)
Lineage: Eukaryota; Viridiplantae; Streptophyta; Magnoliopsida; Poales; Bromeliaceae
Exons: 2
Source: RefSeq, a predicted model, not a curated record
CAACAGCAGCAAGGUGGAUUUUUGGGUUCGGGUUUAUGUUUUUCGGUUCAGAUUCAUAUUUUUUGUCGGGUUUGGGCUUCAAAUUUUUUGUUGUAUUCGGAUUUUAAUUUGAUUUUUAAAAUUCCCUCGGAUUCAGAUUUGGGUUCAAAUUUUGAGUUUGGUAGUUGGAUUCGGAUUCGAAUUUUUCAAAAUUCGCCCCAAAUUCGAUGAGUUGACUUCCCUAAAGUGGAUCCCACCCCUAUCAAUGAACUGUGGUGAUGCCAUAUAGAGUUAUAGAUAGGCUUGUGACUUUCAAAGCUUACUCGCAACCUGCUGGGCAUAUCAACCUUUUGAUAUUUAAAUCCACUAACUGAUUUAGGUUCUUUAAUUAAGUCCACUAAGUUAAGAUUAAAGACAAUCUAGGUUUUGGAUCUCCGAAUCCACUAACUAUUGAAUUGUGUGCAAUCAAAUCCAUCUUGUGACGGGAAUCUAAACCAAGUGGAUUUAUCAAGCACUUGUGGGCUUGUUCAAUGACCCUGCAAAUGGACUGAAAUAGCAAUUUGGCCAAUCAGAAUAAUUCUUUUGGAAACUAGUUUAACUUGUCUUGUUGGUUUCUUCUAUAAGAACUUCUGUUACGUAUUGCUUACAUCAGUUACUUGAUGCAGCUUUGAGGAGAUGCCAACUAACAACUUUGUUGAAAGCAGAUUUAUAAGAGGUGGUGGCGAGAAAAAUUUUGGUAGUAUUUUGACGAUGUAUUGAAUCAAGUUUAAGUAAACUUAGACAUAUUUUGAAAACUUUAUAUUUGAUAGCAUGUGGAAAUGACAAAAAUACUAUUAUUGUGUUUUGUUUUUUGGUUGCGUUGGGUGUAUUAGGUGACAAUGCAAUGAUACUCUAACAUUUAAAGUUUGAUUUAGUUGAUUCAGUCUUUUUUAUUUGCCUUA